UGGAGCCGUGGCACACAAUCAGCCGUGCCAGUGCUUCCACUAACUCCCUUUCCUGCUCUGUUCCAGGAUAUGACCCAGGACACAUCAUUUAAUCUGAGGAAUGUGCUAUCUAAACUUCCAUGACUAAAGAUCUUCUGAGAAGACUUCUGCUAGAAACAACAAAUGUAUCAACCCAG
This is a non-coding RNA of Myodes glareolus (Bank vole), 176 nucleotides long. The record is from RefSeq and is a predicted model, not a curated record. Lineage: Eukaryota; Metazoa; Chordata; Mammalia; Rodentia; Cricetidae.